This 283-nucleotide long non-coding RNA is filed under the name Elaeis guineensis (African oil palm). RNAcentral's name for it is "long non-coding RNA (EGUI_LNC071327)". The record is from RNAcentral. Lineage: Eukaryota; Viridiplantae; Streptophyta; Magnoliopsida; Arecales; Arecaceae.
UCAUCAAAAUCUUUCUAAAUACAGCUAAAGUAGCUUUGUCGGAGCAUGGCCACCUAGUUACAAUUGAAGUCCAUCCUUGGGCCGGUUACUUAUUUUUAUGUUCGAUUUAGAAAAUAUCAAAAGAGUUAAAUAGAUGAACUAAAACAAAAAUUAUUAAAAUCUAUAUCCAUACCAUAUUGUUGAAAGGGACUCCAAUGCUCUCCCAAUGAGCCAUAUGUCAAGCAUUAGAUAUGCCAUGCAUGUUUUCUUUUUUUUUUUUUUGGUGGCCGCUUCUUGGUUAGCA